This 29-nucleotide small RNA is filed under the name Bombyx mori (domestic silkworm). RNAcentral's name for it is "ovarian small RNA-35058". Lineage: Eukaryota; Metazoa; Arthropoda; Insecta; Lepidoptera; Bombycidae. The record is from RNAcentral.
UGGGUUCGUUGGAGCCGACCACGCAGUAA